This 338-nucleotide long non-coding RNA is filed under the name Helianthus annuus (common sunflower). RNAcentral's name for it is "hypothetical non coding rna". The record is from RNAcentral. Lineage: Eukaryota; Viridiplantae; Streptophyta; Magnoliopsida; Asterales; Asteraceae.
UUGGCUAGUUUUUUGUAGUUCUUGAAAACUACAGUUGUGAUCUCUAUUGAUAUUAUACGCACCCUCUUGUGAACCAUGUGUUGUGAAAUCUUUGUGUAUAAAAGGCCUCUUGUGAGCUAGGGUUUCUGGAACGUUCAUUCAUCUUAUCUCACACUCUCUAACUUUGGGGUUUUUGUUCAUACCAGUUGAAGACGAAUCAAGUUGAAGACGAAUCAAGGUCUGUUCGUUUUAGUUGAUGUUCGUUUGAUCUGCUGGUGAUAUGUCGAAGAUUUAGUGAAGAUUAAUCUCUUCGUCUGUUUAGUAUUAUUUUCCAGAUCUUGCAAAUCUUCUUUGUUCAG